RNAcentral lists this ribosomal RNA (497 nucleotides) under uncultured bacterium. Its description in RNAcentral is "partial 16S ribosomal RNA". It matches the Rfam family "Bacterial small subunit ribosomal RNA", at positions 28 to 507 of the family's 1533-position model. The record is from RNAcentral.
GACGAACGCUGGCGGCGUGCCUAAUACAUGCAAGUAGAACGCUGAAGAGAGGAGCUUGCUCUUCUUGGAUGAGUUGCGAACGGGUGAGUAACGCGUAGGUAACCUGCCUUGUAGCGGGGGAUAACUAUUGGAAACGAUAGCUAAUACCGCAUAACAAUAGGUGACACAUGUCAUUUAUUUGAAAGGGGCAAUUGCUCCACUACAAGAUGGACCUGCGUUGUAUUAGCUAGUAGGUGAGGUAACGGCUCACCUAGGCGACGAUACAUAGCCGACCUGAGAGGGUGAUCGGCCACACUGGGACUGAGACACGGCCCAGACUCCUACGGGAGGCAGCAGUAGGGAAUCUUCGGCAAUGGGGGCAACCCUGACCGAGCAACGCCGCGUGAGUGAAGAAGGUUUUCGGAUCGUAAAGCUCUGUUGUAAGUCAAGAACGAGUGUGAGAGUGGAAAGUUCACGCUGUGACGGUAGCUUACCAGAAAGGGACGGCUAACUACGUG